GUGUGUGUGUGUGUGUGUAUGCAUGUGUACCCAGAAAGGACGCUUCUGGGGGGAGCAGCCACAUAACGGGGCUUUUCCUCUGCUUCGCUCCGGGCCCUUGCUGGCCAACCUUUGCCAUGGCAAGCCCCAGCCUGAGGAACGAGCCCCCAGCGCCACAGGUCUCACUUCCCCUCUGCCACCACAGACCCGCCGAGGGACUGAGCAAGCUCCCCCGGCUGCACACCCGAGGAUGCUAGCCUGAGAGCUGAGGGACUCCCACCUUGCACGUCCAGUCCGCUCAAGGCCAGAGGUGGAGUGUGAGAGCAGGCCCGAGGGCUGCUGCCCCGGAGGGGGAGGCGGCCUCUUGCCAGGAAGCUUCCAGCAGGAAAACACCCCGUGUUUCCAACCUGCCAUCACAGUGCCCAUCCCAGCGGCAGUCACAAACAGCCAUUUCAUUGUGCAAUCUUUGUAAUUAUCAUCGUUGCCAUAGCAACAACAUUUGACAGCAGCAAGAGCCCCCAAGCCUCGUUCUGUACCCUCUCCUCACACCACUGCCUGGGUGUGUAACCCUGCUCCCGGUGAGUGCAGCGCCUGGGCGAGGGGCGUGCUUUUGUCCCUGUGCACAGGUAGUUGGAGAGGCGUACCUUACUCGGAAUUCUUCGUAAGUAAACCCUGUUUCCCGGUGUCAGCCGGGGUCCUGCCCACAACCAGAAUCCCUCUCAGAGUGGCGGGAAGCGGCUUGGUGCUGCACCGAUGUCCUCAGGACCAAGGAGGCAAGCACAGCGUCUGCCCAUUGUCCCUUUUGUAAGGUCCCACUCGCUGGCUUAAGGUCCACCUGAGUAACCUCAUCUAACUGAUUACAUCUGCACCGAUUCUAAGUGAAGUCACAGUCUGAGGGGCUGGGGGCGGCUAGAGCUCCAACCUAGGCAUUCUGAAGAAUACAACCCAACCCAUGAUAACACCAAAAAGGGGUGCUCGGCUUCGGGGGUGAGUGACAGGAAGAUGCUGUGUGCCCCUGUGCUAGCUACUCCCCACCAGGCCCUCUGCACCCCCUCUCUUGUUCUGUGUCUGGAAGGCUGACGCACCGGGUGUGUUCCUGCCUUCUAUUCCUUCUCUCUGACACAGAUGAUGAGCGGCAGAAGCUGGAGCCUUACAGAUGGGAGAGGCAAGACGGAGUAGCUUCUCUGUGGUCCCCAGGUUUUGUGUGUGAAGAUUAAGAAAUCUUUUAAAUUAGGUGUUACUGUGUGUGUGUGUGUGUGUGUGUGUGUGUGUUUGUGUUUGCUCAUGUGGGUGCAGUGCCUGCAGAGGCCAGCAGAGGGUGUUGGAUCCAUGGAAACCAGAUGGCAAGAACAGUACUCCUGCUCCUAACCAGCCCCUGCUUCUCUCACUUUUAACAUCUUUAAUAAUUACAGCAGGAGUGACUGGAUAGGUCAGGAGAGUUCACAUUCAGCAAUAACAGCUGACGCUCAGUGUGUGUGUGUGUGUGUGUAUAACAGCUGACGCUCAGUGUGUGUGUGUGUGUGUGUGCGCGCGCGCGCGCGCGCGCGCCCGCACACACGCAUGCGUGUAGCAUGUAUUGUCUGGUUUUGCUGCUAUAAUAGAAUACCACAGACUGAGUAAUUUAUAAAGAUUAAAAAGUUAUUUGUCCCAUGGUUCUAGAGGCGGGGCCAUCCAGGAGCCUUUAGGCUUGACUUUGUGGCAAGCCUAGGUGUCCUGUUAAGCUCUAAUCUAGAAAGAGCUGUACUUUAGAGCGUCCUCAACCCCUUUUCCCCCAGGACAUUCAGUUUGUGUAUCCCCAGUGUCCUCAGCCCACUUAGCUUUUCUAUUUUCCCAUCUGUGAAUCUUUAGGACAGGUGUCGUAAAACAGUUUCUGCCAAGAUUAAAAUAUUCCAUCUUGCAGUAACACUCCAUAAGCAGGAAGGUAAACAAACAGCUUCAGGAAGUCCCUGAAGCUGACCAGAGUCAUUAGGGCCCCUCCCUGCCAGAGUAACAGUGAAAGCCAGGAGUCCUUCUCAGAUGCAGUAGAAAAGGACGCAGAGAAGACUCUAACCCCAGACCAGCUGCCCGAAGAAGCAGAAACCGGCCUAUCUGCCUGGAAGACUGUGUGCAGUGUGCUUCUGGCCCCCAGCUUGGUGAGCUGUCGCCUGUCCUGGGGCAGGCGCUGGUGAUGCCGCUGCCUUUGACUCACAUCUGGUCCAGUAAGUAACCCAAUAAAGCUCAUCGGUCCACCGAGCUGGACUUUGGUGAUACUGGUACUUUGGUCUGCCUUGGGCUCCCUAUCUGGGGUGAGAGAUGCGUCUCUCCUGAAGUUUUGUCACACAGUAGCAGACUAAUAUCCAGUUCUCUCUAGGGUUCCAGCCUGCCGCCUGCUUCUGAGAGCAGCCUGCGCGCCUGAGAUCAUCAUGGCUUUCAGGCUUCCUCUGUUUGCUUUGGAAGAUGGCUGUUUGUGGCUGGCCCGUGUACAAGCUUUAUUUCUUUUCUUCCUCUUUCUUCCUGUUUCCUUCUUUCUCUCUACUAUUUCUUGGUUGGUCUGUGGGUUUCAUGGUGACAUGUUCUUACAACAUAGCUCUAAACCUUACUUACUCACCCUUCACUGCCCUCCCCCUCCCCCCGCCCUCCACUAGCUUUGCUUUCUGCAGGGUUCCUGUCUGCUGGAUCUGACCAGUUUCUGAUCCUCCCCAGGACAGGUUCCUCAGCCUCUACUCUCAGGGUUCUGCCCUAGUUAACAGCCACAUUUUGUCCUUUUGUCAAAACCCAGGGACUAAAGGAAACUCUCCCUGCUCUUUGGCAAGGAUAUUGGAUCUAACCCCCUCGCUGGAGAGAACACUUGGAUCCCUUUUCCUCAGCUCUUCAAGGACAGCUACCACGAAUCUAUUUCUACUACAGCCUGGAAGGAACAUUUAUUUAAAACCCCGUGUCCACCUGCCCCACACCCUGCGGUGUCAAAACAGACUCAAGGCCCUCGUUCCUGUGGAGAGGACCGCCAGGAGGGACUGUCAGAGCUGUGCCUUCUAUCUGAUAUGCCUCAGGAACACGGUGUUCCGUAGAGCCUGCUGCUUGUGCGGUUCCCACGUCUCCACCUCUCCCAUAGCUCUGUAAGGGAAAUACUAAACGGGGCCGUCGAGAUGACUUCUGCUGCCAAGCCGGGGACCGGAGUUCAAAUCUGCAGGAUUCACACAGUGGAAACCAAGACCUGACUCCUAAAAGUCCACAUGCCAAACUGGCUCUCUUGAACAGCCCCCUCCCCAAUAAAUAAAAUGUAAGAAAGAAGAAACGGUAACUGUUUGGAUUGACGAAAAGCAAUGUCUCUGGACCUAUCCUCACUGUGUACAGCUCUGUGUUUACAGUUAGCAUGUGUCAACUGAAAAAUAAAGUAUUUAGAGAAUCCAA
Meriones unguiculatus (Mongolian gerbil) is the source of this 3369-nucleotide long non-coding RNA. RefSeq lists it as uncharacterized. The record is from RefSeq and is a predicted model, not a curated record. The transcript has 2 exons. Lineage: Eukaryota; Metazoa; Chordata; Mammalia; Rodentia; Muridae.